GUGGGGGAUAUUGCACAAUGGGGGAAACCCUGAUGCAGCGACGCCGCGUGGGUGAAGGAGCGUUUCGGCGCGUAAAGCCCUAUCAGCAGGGAAGAAAGAGACGGUACCUGACUAAGAAGCCCCGGCUAACUACGUGCCAGCAGCCGCGGUAAUACGUAGGGGGCAAGCGUUAUCCGGAUUUACUGGGUGUAAAGGGGGCGCAGACGGCAGUGCAAGCCAGGAGUGAAAGCCCGGGGCCUAACCCCGGGACUGCUCUUGGAACUGUACAGCUAGAGUGCAGGAGGGGCAGGCGGAAUUCCUAGUGUAGCGGUGAAAUGCGUAGAUAUUAGGAGGAACACCGGUGGCGAAGGCGGCCUGCUGGACUGUGACUGACGUUGAGGCCCGAAAGCGUGGGGAGCAAACAGGA
This 406-nucleotide ribosomal RNA is filed under the name uncultured bacterium. RNAcentral's name for it is "bacterial SSU rRNA". It matches the Rfam family "Bacterial small subunit ribosomal RNA", at positions 354 to 777 of the family's 1533-position model. The record is from RNAcentral.